Molecule: non-coding RNA, 54 nt
Organism: Salmo salar (Atlantic salmon)
Lineage: Eukaryota; Metazoa; Chordata; Actinopteri; Salmoniformes; Salmonidae
Source: Rfam
UGCAUUCACUACUGUAAGUCGCUCUGGAUAAGAGUGUCUGCUAAAUGACUGUAA